AAUGCAAGUCGAGCGGAAGAUGGGAGCUUGCUCCCUGAUGUUAGCGGCGGACGGGUGAGUAACACGUGGGUAACCUGCCUGUAAGACUGGGAUAACUCCGGGAAACCGGGGCUAAUACCGGAUGGUUGUCUGAACCGCAUGGUUCAGACAUAAAAGGUGGCUUCGGCUACCACUUACAGAUGGACCCGCGGCGCAUUAGCUAGUUGGUGAGGUAACGGCUCACCAAGGCGACGAUGCGUAGCCGACCUGAGAGGGUGAUCGGCCACACUGGGACUGAGACACGGCCCAGACUCCUACGGGAGGCAGCAGUAGGGAAUCUUCCGCAAUGGACGAAAGUCUGACGGAGCAACGCCGCGUGAGUGAUGAAGGUUUUCGGAUCGUAAAGCUCUGUUGUUAGGGAAGAACAAGUGCCGUUCAAAUAGGGCGGCACCUUGACGGUACCUAACCAGAAAGCCACGGCUAACUACGUGCCAGCAGCCGCGGUAAUACGUAGGUGGCAAGCGUUGUCCGGAAUUAUUGGGCGUAAAGGGCUCGCAGGCGGUUUCUUAAGUCUGAUGUGAAAGCCCCCGGCUCAACCGGGGAGGGUCAUUGGAAACUGGGGAACUUGAGUGCAGAAGAGGAGAGUGGAAUUCCACGUGUAGCGGUGAAAUGCGUAGAGAUGUGGAGGAACACCAGUGGCGAAGGCGACUCUCUGGUCUGUAACUGACGCUGAGGAGCGAAAGCGUGGGGAGCGAACAGGAUUAGAUACCCUGGUAGUCCACGCCGUAAACGAUGAGUGCUAAGUGUUAGGGGGUUUCCGCCCCUUAGUGCUGCAGCUAACGCAUUAAGCACUCCGCCUGGGGAGUACGGUCGCAAGACUGAAACUCAAAGGAAUUGACGGGGGCCCGCACAAGCGGUGGAGCAUGUGGUUUAAUUCGAAGCAACGCGAAGAACCUUACCAGGUCUUGACAUCCUCUGACAAUCCUAGAGAUAGGACGUCCCCUUCGGGGGCAGAGUGACAGGUGGUGCAUGGUUGUCGUCAGCUCGUGUCGUGAGAUGUUGGGUUAAGUCCCGCACCGAGCGCAACCCUUGAUCUUAGUUGCCAGCAUUCAGUUGGGCACUCUAAGGUGACUGCCGGUGACAAACCGAAAAGGUGGGGAUGACGUCGAAUCAUCAUGCCCCUUAUGGCUGGGCUACAA
This 1178-nucleotide ribosomal RNA is filed under the name Bacillus subtilis. Its description in RNAcentral is "bacterial SSU rRNA". It matches the Rfam family "Bacterial small subunit ribosomal RNA", at positions 54 to 1219 of the family's 1533-position model. The record is from RNAcentral. Lineage: Bacteria; Bacillati; Bacillota; Bacilli; Caryophanales; Bacillaceae.